AAAUGAGCCACAGGGCAACUCUCCUUUGGCAAGUUAUUGACACUGAUUUUUGGUUACUGACCUUUCACCUGCCAGGAGAGAGGUGCCCUAUUGCUUAUUU
RNAcentral lists this microRNA precursor (100 nucleotides) under Cajanus cajan (pigeon pea). Its description in RNAcentral is "miRNA gene-KK1_003372". Lineage: Eukaryota; Viridiplantae; Streptophyta; Magnoliopsida; Fabales; Fabaceae. The record is from RNAcentral.